UCCCGUGCCGGGGAUCUCCUCCAAUUACUCCUCGCCUCUGUAAUUCUGAAGCGCUUUCUAACCUGACCUCCAGUUUGAGUCAUCUCACCUCUUCCCAACAGAGGGAGCUUUCUCACUUGAUUCAUUCCUUCUCAGAACUGUUUUCUGAUGUUCCCAGCCAAACCCACCAUAUCACUCAUGAUAUAUCUCUGACUGAUUCUGUCCCAGUUUGUUUACAUCCCUACAGGGCUAGCCCCAUGAAACGGGAGUUGAUGAAAGCUGAGGUAAACUACCUCCUGGAACAUGGCCUGGCCAAGAACAGCACCAGCUCCUGGAGCUCGCCCUGCUUUUUGGAAAAUAAGCCUGGUGGAGCUUAUCGGUUUGUUACAGAUUGUAGAAAACUAAAUGCAAAAACAGUACCUGAUUCAUUUCCUCUGCCCUGUGUUGAAGAUUGUGUUGACAGUGUUGGUUCUGCUUCUUUCUUUAGCAAGCUUGACUUGCUAAAAGGUAACUGGCAGGUGCCUUUGACUCCAUUCGCUUCUAAGGUUUCUGCCUUUGUUACUCCUGAUAACCUCCUGCAAUAUACAGUGCUACCUUUCGGUUUAAGAAAUGCUCCAGCUACUUUCCAGAGAUUAGUCAACCAGGUUUUAUCUAACAUCCCACACUGCAGUGCAUACCUGGAUGAUAUCGUGGUUUACUCACCUUCUUGGGAUCUUCACCUUCAGACCUUACAGCGGGUGUUUGAUAGACUCAAGUCUGCUAAUCUCACUUUAAAUCUCGCAAAAUGUGAGUUUGUUGAAGCUACUGUCCGGUGUCUGGGAAAAGAAGUGGGUCAAGGUCAAGUAAGGGCCCUUACUGACAAAAUCCAGGCCAUCAUCUCUUUUCCUCCACCUACCACUCGGAGGGAGCUAAGACGGUUCCUAGGCAUGACCGGUUAUUACCUAUGUUUUUGUAGGAACUUUUCAACGGUUGAAAAACCCUUAACUGACAUGUUGAGUACUAACAUUCCCUUUUCUUGCACCCCAGACUGUCACCAGGCUUUCCUUUCUCUUAGAAACCUGCUUUGUUGUGCUCCGAUCCUGGCUGCUCCUGACCUGUCCCGGCCAUUUAAACUUGAGGUGGAUGCCUGACGCUGGAGCAGGAGCUGUUCUCCUUCAAGAAGAUGCUGAUGGGCUUGAUCACCCCGUCUGCUAUUUUUCUAGAAAAUUCAUUCAGUCACAAUGCGCGUACUCCACCAUUGAAAAGGAAACCUUGGCUUUAAUUUGGUCUCUGCAACAUUUUCAUGUGUACAUCAACAGUCAUUUCACCACAGUUGUCUUUACAGAUCACAACCCGCUGACCUUCUUGGAGCGCAUGUUCAAUUCCAACCAGUGUCUGAUGAGAUGGGCCCUCCUCCUUCAAGAGUUCAACCUAGAAGACCGCCACAAGAAAGGGACGGACAACGUGAUGGCUGACGCGCUUUGGAGAAGUCAUGUAGAUUGAGGCUCCCUUGUAGAUUUUUUAAAAUUUUUAUGAUGUAAGCAUCUCAUGUAAGGCUAGUGUUGUCUGCGCAAGCGGACAUCUCGGGGACACUCCGCCGUGCUGGGGAUCAGCGCGGCAUGAUAUUUUGUGUUUAAUCUGCCCGCCUUCUGAGAUCCAGGAGUCAGUCAGUUAGUUAGUUAGUUGUUUUUGUGUGUGUAGUUAGCUAGCGGGAGCUCUCUUUAGUUUUGUACAGUUGCAACAACUCCUGUCAUUUGGUUCCUGGUAGUUGUUGUUUUGAGGGGGGAGGUGUAACAGACGCCGUCUGUUCUGUGGCCACUAGGUGCCCUCAGCGUCCCUACCUGCUCUCCUGGCUCUAGCUGAGCCAGGUGUAACUGAUUUCAGUCAGUGAUGCUCCUUGUUAAAAGGGUGCGCCAGGUGAUAUACAGCGGGGGAAGUUCAGAAGAGAACAGGCAGUAGUGUUUGCUAUCCUCUUUCCCUCCUCGUCCAGACGUUAAAGUCUCGUUUUGGUUACCUGUGUGGUAUUGGUAAACUCUUCCUAGUUUCUAGAGCUCGUUAGUGUUUAUUUGGCAUUCUCGUUAAAGAGAUCUAGCUCACCCUUCUGGUGGAGUUUCUUGUGUUAAUCCUGCUUUUUCCUUACCCGGUUUAAACCCCGGCACUUUGUGUUUAUUAUUAUCAUUAACUUUAAACCCCAGUUUUGGAUGACUUUUAUGUGUUUGUGACCUUUUAUGCUUUUCCUGCAUAAAGAAGAGACCCUUUUAGUUAAAGAAACUCCUUUAAGAGGGAGAAUCUUGGUUUGUUUCUGUUCACAACCACCUUUCUUUACGCCCUCUAACCAACAUCAUCUCCUAGUCGAGCUGGGGGCCGUAAAAGCCGGCAACCUUUCAAUAUAAGAUUAUGCAUCGGCCGGGCCAAGUUCACUCUAAUGCAGAUGUGUUAUCAUGCCUGCCAGCUGAUUUUGAACAGGUAGUAAACCCCCAAGAGGAGGAGGAUGAAACCCCCCAAACAAUGUGUGCGGUACAGCAGGUGGAAACAGUUUCCUCUAGGGUAGGGGAAACUGAUGAUUUGUCCAAGGCCCAGAAGGAGGAUGUAGAGUUGGCACAGAUUAUUGCCCUCAAAAAUGGCCGUGGAGGGUUGCAUCCUCCACCACAGUUACAGAAGUUUGAAACGGUGUGGGCUCAGUUGCAGAUUAAGGGAGGGAGGUUGGUUAGGGUGCUGCCAGCCAAUUUGGAUGCAGCAAAGCAGGUUCAAGUGGUUCUCCCGAAGUCCUUUAUACCAAAGGUCAGCUACAUGACUCAGUGACAGCGGGUCAUUUGGGGGUCCACAAGCUGCAGGCUAAAAUAAAAGACAGAUUUUAUUGGCCUGGUUGGUUUGAGGAUGUGAGAUGAUGGUGUCGUGAGUGUAAGGACUGUGGUUCAAGAAAGACGGCUGGACCUCAGUUUUGUGCUCCACUGCAAGUUACUGUAGCAUCAAGGCCUUUUGAGCGGGUCGCAAUGGACAUUUUGGGGCCAUUGCCAGAAACUCAUAUGAAAAACAAAUACAUUCUGGUCAUUGGCAUUUUUCCAAGUGGGCUAAGGACUUUACUUUUUCAAAAUCAGGAAGCUCGGGCUGUUGCCAAGGUGAUGGCUGAACAAUGGGUUUGCCGGUUGGGGACUCCUAGUUCCAUUCACACAGAUCAAUGGAGGAAUUUUGAAUCGGGCUUAUCCAGGGAACUCUGUGAUCUGUUAAACAUUCAUAAAUCCGGAACAUCUCCAUACCACUCUCAAUCAGAUGGAUUAGUAGAAAGGUUCAACAGAACUUUGCUGUCAAUGUUGUCCUUGUUUGUAGUGGAAAAUCAGGCUAACUGGGACUCAUUACUGCCUUAUGUGAUGCUGGCAUACUGAAGCAGUGUGCAUUCUAGCACGGGUUUUACACCUUAUAAGGUUUUGUUUGAGCAGGAAAUAGUGCUACCUGUGGAUGUAAUGUGGGCCCUGGAGGGAGAGAAACCUUUGGUAGUUACAGACUAUGUGUCUAGGCUGAGGGACACAUUGACACUUGUGGUGGAAGCAGUAAAAAGACACCAGUCUAUGGCUUCAGAGAGGCAAAAAGAGGCCUUUGAUAUGAAAGUGAGGUGGCAGUACUAUUUUGAAGGAGAGUUGGUCUGGGUUUGAACCAAGGCUAGGAAAGGGGGAGUCUGUCCAAAAUUGCAAAGGGGAUUCAGUGGCCCAUACAGGAUUAUGGAAAGAAUUCCCUAUAUUCUGUAUAGGGUGGUUCUGCAAGAGGGAGGAACUGAAAGUGUUGUACACUUCAACAGACUUAAGCCUUUUCUUUGCCCUGUGUCACAGUCCAAAUGCCAUGGAGAACUACAGAGACAACAGAGCCAGGAUCGACAGAUGGGCCUUGAAAGGAGUGGAGGCUAAACAUGAUGGAGGACGCCAGAGAACAGAGGAUGGCAAAGGGGCGUGGGGCAACGGGCUAAUCGAGGACCCCUGACUGACAGACGGGCGACACCGAUGAGGUCACCGGGACAGCCACUGGGAGAUCUGGAACUGGCAGCUGCCCAAGGAGUGGAAGGACAGUCCAAUCACCAAGAAGAAUUACGGGCAUGGCAGAGCAUGGAUCAGCAGAUGGUCCCUGGGAGGAGUGGUGACUCGACACGAUGGCAAACACCAGAGAACAGAGGACAGCAGGAGGACAUGAGUUGGAAAGGAACCUCCUGCUGUCUGUGGAGGAUCCCACUGCGCCGAUCUAGCGGACUUCCUUGCUCAGACUGAAUGAGACCGGGACCGCAUAGCAUCGGUGUACAAGCCUAGACCCCGAGGGAGGGCCUUGACCUUCAGGGACAGCUAAGUGCUUUUUAACUUUAUUCCUUUUGUUUAUUGCUGUGGCCAUUUUAAGAGUUUUCACCUGGUUGUGGAGGAUUUACAGCCUGGUUUACUGGGGGUGUGUGCAGUGGCUUAGCAGCCCAUCUCUCAUGGGUGGGUUUGCUGUAUAGCAGGUUGGGCUCAGGGGCAGUGAAGGGUGGUGUGCGGUUGUGAAGUGCAGUGCCCUUUUGGGAUGUUGUGGAGUCGAUACCUAAUCAUUGGGCUGUCAGUCUGACCCCAACCUGGAACGGGCUUGUUAUUUAUGUAAGAAAUUGGGGAUAAAUAUAGUUGCUUUUCAUCUUAAUAUAUUACCUCUACAUAUGACCAAUAAGCUGUGAUAUUCUAUAUAAAUAUAGGUUAUCAACCUUAUUAGUCUUUGAAUGUUUAAUCAGAAGAUUCUAGGAUUCUUACUUACUUACAUUUUUACUGUGAUUGCCUGUUUUUCUGUAAAAUCACAGAAAAAGAGAGAUGCUCGGGUCGAGCAGGCUGCUUCAUGCACGUUCACGCUCAGGCAUAGCCCUCCGAACUGUUCUUAAAUGGUACAGAUACAGAUGAUGUCACUGGUGUGUUAGCUCGCCUAGUAAGUUGUCGGACUUUCGUGCAGAAGACCCGGGUUUGCUUCUGGAUGUGAACAUAGUUUAUUUAGAGUUUCUUUUUUACAUUAAUGGUAUAAUUUUUUUACAGCAAGAUGCCCAAAUUUUUAUUUGAGACUAGCCGAACAGCAUUGAAUUCACAGAUUAAAAAAAUGUGGGUUCAACUUUCAUUUUGGAACAAUUUUUCAAGAGCAUGAAGGAGGACUGACCCAUCUUAAACCUUUGCCGGCUGUGCUGAAGAGAAAGGUACAGAACGAAAUUAUUUAAUUAAUUAGCUGCGGAUUCUCCUGUCCUCUGUCCUCCAGGCCACACACACACACACACACACACACACACACACACACACACACACACACACACAGAGCUGACUGUCUCAGCUGUUAUUUUCGUUAAGGAGUGUGCACGUACAGCAUGCGCGCCUCGUGCACGAGCCUACUAUUGAAGCUGCCGUUACGCUUUUGGCCUGAGGGGGCAAUCGCGACCAUAAAAAUUCAAAACUCUGUUAAGUCCCUUUAAAUAAGACGACUGUGAUGCAUGAAUAUAAGUGGAUGGGAUGUGAUGUUUGGUGAUUGAAUGGUGUGUGUUUAUCAGAACCUUGUAUCUAGAAGAAACUGAGUUCUGGGUGUGAAAAGAAUUUGGUCUGCAUUAAACUAUGAAGUUGGUUCUUAUCAAAACGGCAUCAGACACAAUUGAUGCUGUGUCUACCUCACCCUUUUUGGAGACCCUCUUCGCGGAUCCGGAGGUCAGGCAGGUCGGAUGACCUCUAGGCACCGAGGUUCAGUAGAUUAACCACAGCACCGACGCUCCAGUCCAGAGAUGUCACCAGGAACAACAGGUUGGAACGAGUUUGCAUCUAGAACAGCUGUUUCUGAAUAGCUGAAGGAACCUGGAGUAGGAAGUGAUGCCACCAUCAGCGUCAGCUCUGAAGAUGUUUGCAGCUGCAAACGAAACCUUCAGCAAGAGCUGCAGAGGCUCGGACUCCAGCUGAUGGAAUGGCAGGAUCCGGCAGAUUAAAGACAACAAAUGUAGACUCCUGUCUCCAUGUGACCAGAUACUGAAGAGGUCAAACUGUAUGCUCCGGCAGGGCACAGGGUCGGGGACUGAAGCUCAGAAAGUUAUGUUACUGAUCCACAAGAAAAAAAAA
This is a non-coding RNA of Nothobranchius furzeri (turquoise killifish), 6038 nucleotides long. The record is from RefSeq and is a predicted model, not a curated record. NCBI's taxonomy places the organism in Eukaryota, Metazoa, Chordata, Actinopteri, Cyprinodontiformes, Nothobranchiidae.